UACGAAGGGGGCUAGCGUUGCUCGGAAUUACUGGGCGUAAAGCGCACGUAGGCGGACUCUUAAGUCAGGGGUGAAAUCCUGGAGCUCAACUCCAGAACUGCCUUUGAUACUGAGAGCCUUGAGUUCGGGAGAGGUGAGUGGAACUGCGAGUGUAGAGGUGAAAUUCGUAGAUAUUCGCAAGAACACCAGUGGCGAAGGCGGCUCACUGGCCCGAUACUGACGCUGAGGUGCGAAAGCGUGGGGAGCAAACAGG
This 253-nucleotide ribosomal RNA is filed under the name uncultured bacterium. Its description in RNAcentral is "partial 16S ribosomal RNA". It matches the Rfam family "Bacterial small subunit ribosomal RNA", at positions 524 to 776 of the family's 1533-position model. The record is from RNAcentral.